GAGGGUAUAGCUCAGUGGUAGAGCGCAUGCUUAGCAUGCAUCAGUUCCUGGGUUCAAUCCCCAGUACCUCCU
This 72-nucleotide transfer RNA is filed under the name Camelus bactrianus (Bactrian camel). It matches the Rfam family "tRNA". From Rfam's summary of the family: Transfer RNA (tRNA) molecules are approximately 80 nucleotides in length. Their secondary structure includes four short double-helical elements and three loops (D, anti-codon, and T loops). The record is from Rfam by way of RNAcentral. Lineage: Eukaryota; Metazoa; Chordata; Mammalia; Artiodactyla; Camelidae. RNAcentral also lists the same sequence under 3 other names.